This 369-nucleotide ribosomal RNA is filed under the name Triticum aestivum (bread wheat). Its description in RNAcentral is "partial small subunit ribosomal RNA". The record is from RNAcentral. Lineage: Eukaryota; Viridiplantae; Streptophyta; Magnoliopsida; Poales; Poaceae.
AUGGCGGCAUGGAGGCCGCGGCGGUGCAGGGCAAUAAGCCGCGGCGGCGUGCCGGGCGCGACCGGUGCGUGUUAUGGGUGCGCACUUGACGCGUCGGGCGCGUCGGGACCGCGGGCGCGCGGUGAGCGCACUGGUGUGGUCGGGCUCGUCGGGCGCGUAGGAUGCGCGCGGGACGUGCGGGACGCACUGGUGUGGUCGGGCUCGUCGGGCGCGUCGGGUGCGCGCGGGACGUGCGGGGCGUCGAGGGACGUCAGGCGUGUGUCGCCGGCGGAGGAGGAGCUCGGCGUGUGUCGCUGGAGUCGUGAUGGAGCACGGUGCGACCGGCGUCGUUGCGCCAGGUCGGGUCCGUGGGCUGGGUCACACUCGUGA